GGGAGGAGCCCAGAGCCUGAAUCAGUGUGUGUGUUAGUGGAAGCGUCUGGAAAGGCGCGCGAUACAGGGUGACAGCCCCGUACACAAAAAUGCACAUACUGUGAGCUCGAUGAGUAGGGCGGGACACGUGGUAUCCUGUCUGAAUAUGGGGGGACCAUCCUCCAAGGCUAAAUACUCCUGACUGACCGAUAGUGAACCAGUACCGUGAGGGAAAGGCGAAAAGAACCCCGGCGAGGGGAGUGAAAAAGAACCUGAAACCGUGUACGUACAAGCAGUGGGAGCCUCUUAAUGGGGUGACUGCGUACCUUUUGUAUAAUGGGUCAGCGACUUAUAUUCUGUAGCAAGGUUAACCGAAUAGGGGAGCCGAAGGGAAACCGAGUCUUAACUGGGCGUUAAGUUGCAGGGUAUAGACCCGAAACCCGGUGAUCUAGCCAUGGGCAGGUUGAAGGUUGGGUAACACUAACUGGAGGACCGAACCGACUAAUGUUGAAAAAUUAGCGGAUGACUUGUGGCUGGGGGUGAAAGGCCAAUCAAACCGGGAGAUAGCUGGUUCUCCCCGAAAGCUAUUUAGGUAGCGCCUCGUGAAUUCAUCUCCGGGGGUAGAGCACUGUUUCGGCAAGGGGGUCAUCCCGACUUACCAACCCGAUGCAAACUGCGAAUACCGGAGAAUGUUAUCACGGGAGACACACGGCGGGUGCUAACGUCCGUCGUGAAGAGGGAAACAACCCAGACCGCCAGCUAAGGUCCCAAAGUCAUGGUUAAGUGGGAAACGAUGUGGGAAGGCCCAGACAGCCAGGAUGUUGGCUUAGAAGCAGCCAUCAUUUAAAGAAAGCGUAAUAGCUCACUGGUCGAGUCGGCCUGCGCGGAAGAUGUAACGGGGCUAAACCAUGCACCGAAGCUGCGGCAGCGACACUAUGUGUUGUUGGGUAGGGGAGCGUUCUGUAAGCCUGUGAAGGUGUACUGUGAGGUAUGCUGGAGGUAUCAGAAGUGCGAAUGCUGACAUAAGUAACGAUAAAGCGGGUGAAAAGCCCGCUCGCCGGAAGACCAAGGGUUCCUGUCCAACGUUAAUCGGGGCAGGGUGAGUCGACCCCUAAGGCGAGGCCGAAAGGCGUAGUCGAUGGGAAACAGGUUAAUAUUCCUGUACUUGGUGUUACUGCGAAGGGGGGACGGAGAAGGCUAUGUUGGCCGGGCGACGGUUGUCCCGGUUUAAGCGUGUAGGCUGGUUUUCCAGGCAAAUCCGGAAAAUCAAGGCUGAGGCGUGAUGACGAGGCACUACGGUGCUGAAGCGACAAAUGCCCUGCUUCCAGGAAAAGCCUCUAAGCAUCAGGUAACAUCAAAUCGUACCCCAAACCGACACAGGUGGUCAGGUAGAGAAUACCAAGGCGCUUGAGAGAACUCGGGUGAAGGAACUAGGCAAAAUGGUGCCGUAACUUCGGGAGAAGGCACGCUGAUAUGUAGGUGAAGCGACUUGCUCGUGGAGCUGAAAUCAGUCGAAGAUACCAGCUGGCUGCAACUGUUUAUUAAAAACACAGCACUGUGCAAACACGAAAGUGGACGUAUACGGUGUGACGCCUGCCCGGUGCCGGAAGGUUAAUUGAUGGGGUUAGCGGUAACGCGAAGCUCUUGAUCGAAGCCCCGGUAAACGGCGGCCGUAACUAUAACGGUCCUAAGGUAGCGAAAUUCCUUGUCGGGUAAGUUCCGACCUGCACGAAUGGCGUAAUGAUGGCCAGGCUGUCUCCACCCGAGACUCAGUGAAAUUGAACUCGCUGUGAAGAUGCAGUGUACCCGCGGCAAGACGGAAAGACCCCGUGAACCUUUACUAUAGCUUGACACUGAACAUUGAGCCUUGAUGUGUAGGAUAGGUGGGAGGCUUUGAAGUGUGGACGCCAGUCUGCAUGGAGCCGACCUUGAAAUACCACCCUUUAAUGUUUGAUGUUCUAACGUGGGCCCCUUACCGGGGUUGCGGACAGUGUCUGGUGGGUAGUUUGACUGGGGCGGUCUCCUCCUAAAGAGUAACGGAGGAGCACGAAGGUUGGCUAAUCCUGGUCGGACAUCAGGAGGUUAGUGCAAUGGCAUAAGCCAGCUUGACUGCGAGCGUGACGGCGCGAGCAGGUGCGAAAGCAGGUCAUAGUGAUCCGGUGGUUCUGAAUGGAAGGGCCAUCGCUCAACGGAUAAAAGGUACUCCGGGGAUAACAGGCUGAUACCGCCCAAGAGUUCAUAUCGACGGCGGUGUUUGGCACCUCGAUGUCGGCUCAUCACAUCCUGGGGCUGAAGUAGGUCCCAAGGGUAUGGCUGUUCGCCAUUUAAAGUGGUACGCGAGCUGGGUUUAGAACGUCGUGAGACAGUUCGGUCCCUAUCUGCCGUGGGCGCUGGAGAACUGAGGGGGGCUGCUCCUAGUACGAGAGGACCGGAGUGGACGCAUCACUGGUGUUCGGGUUGUCAUGCCAAUGGCACUGCCCGGUAGCUAAAUGCGGAAGAGAUAAGUGCUGAAAGCAUCUAAGCACGAAACUUGCCCCGAGAUGAGUUCUCCCUGACUCCUUGAGAGUCCUGAAGGAACGUUGAAGACGACGACGUUGAUAGGCCGGGUGUGUAAGCGCAGCGAUGCGUUGAGCUAACCGGUACUAAUGAACCGUGAGGCUUAACCUU
This 2646-nucleotide ribosomal RNA is filed under the name Escherichia coli. RNAcentral's name for it is "partial 23S ribosomal RNA". It matches the Rfam family "Bacterial large subunit ribosomal RNA". The record is from RNAcentral. Lineage: Bacteria; Pseudomonadati; Pseudomonadota; Gammaproteobacteria; Enterobacterales; Enterobacteriaceae.